This 269-nucleotide unclassified non-coding RNA is filed under the name Hevea brasiliensis (rubber tree). Lineage: Eukaryota; Viridiplantae; Streptophyta; Magnoliopsida; Malpighiales; Euphorbiaceae. The record is from RNAcentral.
GGCUCCUCCUCUUCUUCUCCCAUUUUUACGACUAUAUACAUACACACACAAACAUAUAUCAACCUAUACAUACAGAUAUGUGUAGAUAAUCUGUAUCUAUCGCCAUCAAUCGAACAACUUCGAAUUUGCAAUCAUCGAAACCCCAAACCCCCUCAUUUGAUCCAGGAUCGGAGCUGGAAUUACUGUUCGGUAGCUGUGUAUAAUUUAUAUCCGGUUUCAUUUGAAUGGGAGUUUCGGGAAUUUAGAUUGAUGCUGACCUUGGAUUGACG